CCUACGGGUGGCUGCAGUAAGGAAUAUUGGUCAAUGGACGGAAGUCUGAACCAGCCAUCCCGCGUGCAGGAAGAAGGUCCUAUGGAUUGUAAACUGCUUUUAGCAGAGACGAAACGCCUUCAUUUAUGGGGGUUUGACGGUAUCUGCGGAAUAAGCACCGGCUAACUCCGUGCCAGCAGCCGCGGUAAUACGGAGGGUGCAGGCGUUAUCCGGAAUCACUGGGUUGAAAGGGGGGGAUUAAGUGGGAGGUGAAAGCCUGUAGCUUAACGACAGAAUUGCCAUUGAUACUUAUGUUCUUGAAUUGGGUUGAGGUUAGCGGAAUGUGACAUGUAACGGUGAAAUGUUUAGAUAUGUCAUGGAACACCGAUUGCGAAGGCAGCUAGCUGGGCCUUGAUUGACGCUGAGGCACGAAAGCGUGGGUAGCGAACAGGAUUAGAUACCCCGGUAGUC
This 450-nucleotide ribosomal RNA is filed under the name uncultured bacterium. RNAcentral describes it as "partial 16S ribosomal RNA". It matches the Rfam family "Bacterial small subunit ribosomal RNA", at positions 338 to 795 of the family's 1533-position model. The record is from RNAcentral.